This 388-nucleotide ribosomal RNA is filed under the name uncultured bacterium. RNAcentral's name for it is "bacterial SSU rRNA". It matches the Rfam family "Bacterial small subunit ribosomal RNA", at positions 28 to 417 of the family's 1533-position model. The record is from RNAcentral.
GACGAACGCUGGCGGCGUGCUUAACACAUGCAAGUCGAGCGGUAAGGCCCUUUCGGGGGUACACGAGCGGCGAACGGGUGAGUAACACGUGGGUGACCUGCCCUUAGCUCUGGGAUAAGCCUGGGAAACUGGGUCUAAUACCGGAUAUGACUCCAUGACGCAUGUUGUGGGGUGGAAAGCCUUGUGCGGCUAGGGAUGGGCCCGCGGCCUAUCAGCUUGUUGGUGGGGUGAUGGCCUACCAAGGCGACGACGGGUAGCCGGCCUGAGAGGGCGACCGGCCACACUGGGACUGAGACACGGCCCAGACUCCUGCGGGAGGCAGCAGUGGGGAAUCUUGCGCAAUGGGCGAAAGCCUGACGCAGCGACGCCGCGUGAGGGAUGACGGCCU